This 158-nucleotide ribosomal RNA is filed under the name Fragosphaeria reniformis. Its description in RNAcentral is "5.8S ribosomal RNA". It matches the Rfam family "5.8S ribosomal RNA". From Rfam's summary of the family: 5.8S ribosomal RNA (5.8S rRNA) is a component of the large subunit of the eukaryotic ribosome. The record is from RNAcentral. Lineage: Eukaryota; Fungi; Ascomycota; Sordariomycetes; Ophiostomatales; Ophiostomataceae.
AAACUUUCAACAACGGAUCUCUUGGUUCUGGCAUCGAUGAAGAACGCAGCGAAAUUCGAUACGUAAUGUGAAUUGCAGAAUUCAGCGAACCAUCGAAUCUUUGAACGCACAUUGCGCCCGCCAGCAUUCUGGCGGGCAUGCCUGUCCGAGCGUCAUUA